UGACUAAACGUUAACUAUUAC
This 21-nucleotide non-coding RNA is filed under the name Caenorhabditis elegans. The record is from RNAcentral. Lineage: Eukaryota; Metazoa; Nematoda; Chromadorea; Rhabditida; Rhabditidae.